CACUCCUACGGGAGGCAGCAGUGGGGAAUAUUGCACAAUGGGCGCAAGCCUGAUGCAGCCAUGCCGCGUGUAUGAAGAAGGCCUUCGGGUUGUAAAGUACUUUCAGCGGGGAGGAAGGCGAUAAGGUUAAUAACCUUGUCGAUUGACGUUACCCGCAGAAGAAGCACCGGCUAACUCCGUGCCAGCAGCCGCGGUAAUACGGAGGGUGCAAGCGUUAAUCGGAAUUACUGGGCGUAAAGCGCACGCAGGCGGUCUGUCAAGUCGGAUGUGAAAUCCCCGGGCUCAACCUGGGAACUGCAUUCGAAACUGGCAGGCUAGAGUCUUGUAGAGGGGGGUAGAAUUACAGGGGUAGCGGUGAAAUGCGUAGAGAUCUGGAGGAAUACCGGUGGCGAAGGCGGCCCCCUGGACAAAGACUGACGCUCAGGUGCGAAAGCGUGGGGAGCAAACAGGAUUAGAAACCCUAGUAGUCCCA
This 472-nucleotide ribosomal RNA is filed under the name uncultured organism. RNAcentral describes it as "partial 16S ribosomal RNA". It matches the Rfam family "Bacterial small subunit ribosomal RNA", at positions 334 to 797 of the family's 1533-position model. The record is from RNAcentral.